RNAcentral lists this ribosomal RNA (253 nucleotides) under uncultured bacterium. Its description in RNAcentral is "partial 16S ribosomal RNA". It matches the Rfam family "Bacterial small subunit ribosomal RNA", at positions 524 to 776 of the family's 1533-position model. The record is from RNAcentral.
UACGUAGGUGACAAGCGUUGUCCGGAUUUAUUGGGCGUAAAGAGCGCGCAGGCGGUCGUUCAAGUCGAGUGUGAAAGCCCCCGGCUCAACUGGGGAGGGUCAUUCGAUACUGAUCGACUCGAAGGCAGGAGAGGGUAGUGGAAUUCCCGGUGUAGUGGUGAAAUGCGUAGAUAUCGGGAGGAACACCAGUGGCGAAGGCGACUACCUGGCCUGUUCUUGACGCUGAGGCGCGAAAGCUAGGGGAGCAAACGGG